RNAcentral lists this ribosomal RNA (578 nucleotides) under uncultured Yersinia sp. Its description in RNAcentral is "bacterial SSU rRNA". It matches the Rfam family "Bacterial small subunit ribosomal RNA", at positions 102 to 676 of the family's 1533-position model. The record is from RNAcentral. Lineage: Bacteria; Pseudomonadati; Pseudomonadota; Gammaproteobacteria; Enterobacterales; Yersiniaceae.
ACGGGUGAGUAAUGUCUGGGAAACUGCCUGAUGGAGGGGGAUAACUACUGGAAACGGUAGCUAAUACCGCAUGACCUCGUAAGAGCAAAGUGGGGGACCUUCGGGCCUCACGCCAUCGGAUGUGCCCAGAUGGGAUUAGCUAGUAGGUGAGGUAAUGGCUCACCUAGGCGACGAUCCCUAGCUGGUCUGAGAGGAUGACCAGCCACACUGGAACUGAGACACGGUCCAGACUCCUACGGGAGGCAGCAGUGGGGAAUAUUGCACAAUGGGCGCAAGCCUGAUGCAGCCAUGCCGCGUGUGUGAAGAAGGCCUUAGGGUUGUAAAGCACUUUCAGCGAGGAGGAAGGGUUCAGUGUUAAUAGUACUGAGCAUUGACGUUACUCGCAGAAGAAGCACCGGCUAACUCCGUGCCAGCAGCCGCGGUAAUACGGAGGGUGCAAGCGUUAAUCGGAAUUACUGGGCGUAAAGCGCACGCAGGCGGUUUGUUAAGUCAGAUGUGAAAUCCCCGAGCUUAACUUGGGAACUGCAUUUGAAACUGGCAAGCUAGAGUCUUGUAGAGGGGGGUAGAAUUCCAGGUGU